RNAcentral lists this ribosomal RNA (505 nucleotides) under Sporosarcina sp. RNAcentral describes it as "bacterial SSU rRNA". It matches the Rfam family "Bacterial small subunit ribosomal RNA", at positions 148 to 639 of the family's 1533-position model. Lineage: Bacteria; Bacillati; Bacillota; Bacilli; Caryophanales; Caryophanaceae. The record is from RNAcentral.
UCCGGGAAACCGGGGCUAAUACCGAAUAAUCAAUUCCUUCGCAUGAAGGAAUUCUGAAAGACGGUUUCGGCUGUCACUGCAGGAUGGGCCCGCGGCGCAUUAGCUAGUUGGUGGGGUAAUGGCCUACCAAGGCAACGAUGCGUAGCCGACCUGAGAGGGUGAUCGGCCACACUGGGACUGAGACACGGCCCAGACUCCUACGGGAGGCAGCAGUAGGGAAUCUUCCACAAUGGACGAAAGUCUGAUGGAGCAAUGCCGCGUGAGUGAAGAAGGUUUUCGGAUCGUAAAGCUCUGUUGCGAGGGAAGAACACGUACGGGAGUAACUGCCCGUACCUUGACGGUACCUCGUCAGAAAGCCACGGCUAACUACGUGCCAGCAGCCGCGGUAAUACGUAGGUGGCAAGCGUUGUCCGGAAUUAUUGGGCGUAAAGCGCGCGCAGGCGGUCCUUUAAGUCUGAUGUGAAAGCCCACGGCUCAACCGUGGAGGGUCAUUGAAAACUGGGGG